RNAcentral lists this ribosomal RNA (447 nucleotides) under Triticum aestivum (bread wheat). RNAcentral describes it as "partial small subunit ribosomal RNA". The record is from RNAcentral. Lineage: Eukaryota; Viridiplantae; Streptophyta; Magnoliopsida; Poales; Poaceae.
AUGUCGACGGCGGCUGCAUCUCGCCCCAGCGGCCCUGUCCUUCUAAGCCCCUUCCCCAACUACCAACCCGCCUCGCUCUCCCGUGUCAAGCUCUCCGUCGCCGGCUCGCCGGUCAAGUCCGCCCCCAAGAUCCGUCGGUCCUGCAUGUGCUCCCCGACGAACCACCCGGGCUCGUUCCGUUGCAGCCUCCACAAGGAGCGCAAGCAGGAUGCGGUCCCGGCCGUCAGCAGCAAGCAAGCCUCCCCGCCUUCGCCGCCGCCGCGCAUGGUAAACGUGCUAGCGCAACGCGUCCCCAUGGGGAGCGGGCACUGGGCACGCAAGGCGCUCGCGCCGUCCCACGCGGUGCAGCAGUUGCAGCACCGGAAGCGCGCCGACCGGUUCCGCGCCGGGCCCAGCCGGCUCUCCGGCGUCUCCAUGGCCGGCCGCCGCGCAGGCGGCAGCCAGUAA